RNAcentral lists this ribosomal RNA (996 nucleotides) under Triticum aestivum (bread wheat). Its description in RNAcentral is "partial small subunit ribosomal RNA". Lineage: Eukaryota; Viridiplantae; Streptophyta; Magnoliopsida; Poales; Poaceae. The record is from RNAcentral.
AUGCCCCGCUUCCUCGUCCUCGACCCGGCCACCCGCCGCCGCACGGUCCUCCCGCCCCCGCGCCGCGACACGGUGCCCGAUGACCGCCGCUGGCGCAGAUCGAGGUACUACAUCGGCUCCGCGCUGCUCUCCCGCGCUCACCCGAGCAAGCUCUGCUUCGAGGCUGUCUGCUUCGCCAUCGAGGAGGGGCGCCCUCGCGCCUGGGUCGCGUCCGUCAGCAACGGCGACUGCAGCUGGCGCGCGCUCCCGCGGGACGAGGAGGCCGAGGUCGACUUCAAUCCCUGGUUGUUCGAAAACCGCGGCGUGCACGCAGGCGGGAAGAUAUACUGGCACAUCUGCAACUCUCCGCGCAUGCUCACGCUGGACCCUGUCACACUCAGGUUCUCCUACCUGCACGGGCCGCGCGCGCUGGCUGUCGACCCGAUAACCGUGUGCAAGGUCCGCGUCGGGGAGACGCCGGAUGGGCGGCUUUGCUUGGUGACCGACGGCGAGCAGCAGCUGCAGCUCUGGGUGCGCGGGGAGGGCAGGGGGAGCGACAAAGGUUGGCUUCUGCAGAAGAGUGUCGCGGAGCUGAGCACGCUGUGCGACAUGAUUCCUGGCAUGCCCAGCGACGCGGAAAUGAUUCCUGGACCUCGCAAGCCCACCGACAUCGAGAUGGUUCCUGGCAUGCCCUGCGAACGGACUGUUUGCGUCUGGCCCAGCGACAUGGACGCCGGUCGCACGGGGAAGGUGUUCAUCAAGACCUGGGGAUUCGGACGCUACUCGUACGAUAUGUACACCGGCAAGCUGGAGCGCCUGGCGACGAAGCGUGGCAAGGAAUAUGGGCACCCCAUGUUCGCCUACUUCCUGGCAUGGCCGCCCGCCUUCCUCGCUCCAGAACCAGAGCCGUUGGUGACUUGUAAGGAAUUGGCGCAUCUUUGUUUGAAGUCAGCUCUUCAUUUCUGGGUCACUACUUUCAUGCUAACACCUCACGUUGAGCUCAUGGGGAACCUCUGA